This is a long non-coding RNA of Calidris pugnax (ruff), 688 nucleotides long. RefSeq lists it as uncharacterized. The record is from RefSeq and is a predicted model, not a curated record. The transcript is spliced from 3 exons. NCBI's taxonomy places the organism in Eukaryota, Metazoa, Chordata, Aves, Charadriiformes, Scolopacidae.
UCCCAGUUGUUUAAAAGCACGUUGCUCAAGCCAGCAUGACUUAAAUGCUUGAUGCAAAAUUUUGGCAAAAUAAUGUGAUUUGUUCAUCUAGGAUGAGCUUUUCAGUGGGGUCCAUCUCCUUGUGAAACAUGAGGUGCUUUUACAUUAAUCUUUUUAUUUGGCCGUGACCUGACUGCACAGGAGAGCAGUACGAAUGGUCACUGUGCUCAGGAAAAAACAUUGAAAAUAAAACGCAGAUAUUUGUGACAUACAUAUCCCUCUUGAGGGCUAAAAUCUCAAAGGUAUUCUAUUCUAUCAAUAGAGAUCUAAGAAAUGGAGACUAUGAUAGUCUUUUCCAUGCUUAAAUAUUUUAAUGUUUUAAUGAAUGUGUAAAGGAAUAGAGAAUCUCCUUUGAGAGCUAUAUAUGUAUUAAAAACAGUGUAUCUACUUUCCAUGGUGUCUUACAAGUUCUGAAUUCUGUCUGUUUAUGUGUCUGUCCAUCUACUGAAGUGAUUCCUUCAAGAACUCCCACAAAUCUGUAUCAACAUCGACAACAGCAUCAGCUCAGUUUUUUCCUCCUUCUUAAUGACCUCUACAAGAGCAUCCUGUUGUUAGCACCACGUUGGGGCAUCAAUUCCACAGCAACUCAGAAGAAGGAGCAGCACCUCACAGCUCUGCUUCCUAAGGCAGCCAGGAUGAUGCUGUUCUC